Molecule: ribosomal RNA, 363 nt
Filed under: uncultured bacterium
Lineage: Bacteria
Description: partial 16S ribosomal RNA
Rfam family: Bacterial small subunit ribosomal RNA
Source: RNAcentral
CCUACGGGUGGCAGCAGUGAGGAAUAUUGGUCAAUGGACGCGAGUCUGAACCAGCCAAGCAGCGUGCAGGAUGACGGCUCUAUGAGUUGUAAACUUCUUUUAUACGAGGGUAAAGCCCGAUACGUGUACCUGUUUGAAAGUAUCGUAUGAAUAAGGAUCGGCUAACUCCGUGCCAGCAGCCGCGGUAAUACGGAGGAUCCGAGCGUUAUCCGGAUUUAUUGGGUUUAAAGGGUGCGUAGGCGGGUUGAUAAGUUAGAGGUGAAAUGUUGGGGCUCAACCCUGAAACUGCCUCUAAUACUGGUGGUCUUGAGAAUAGUUGAGGUAGGCGGAAUGUAUGGUGUAGCGGUGAAAUGCUUAGAGAUC